Molecule: transfer RNA, 72 nt
Organism: Toxocara canis (dog roundworm)
Lineage: Eukaryota; Metazoa; Nematoda; Chromadorea; Rhabditida; Toxocaridae
Rfam family: tRNA
About the family: Transfer RNA (tRNA) molecules are approximately 80 nucleotides in length. Their secondary structure includes four short double-helical elements and three loops (D, anti-codon, and T loops).
Source: Rfam
GUGGCAGUAGCUCAGUAGAAGAGCUCCCGCUUUGCAUACGGGGAGACCUGGGUUCGAUUCCAGGCUGCUUCC